AACGCAUAUGGCACCCGAGACCUCGGUCGAGGGUAUGUCUGCCUCAGAGUCGGCGUAAAAAUUAUCCCCUGUUGGCUCAGCUUCGAGUCCUUCGGGGGGAACUGACCCUUCCCGCGCCGUCGGUGCGGGUUGGUCGAAGGCGAGAUACGGGUAAACCUGGCCGUGGCCGUUCCCGGCUGGACCGAGAUUUGCUGGAAGGACAUACGUCCGACUUACGUCUCGGGCCAAGGGUUACGGCAGUGCCAAGGUAGCCCGCUUUGCAGGAAAUCGGUGGUUGACCACAGUCGAGGGCUCUGCCCGAGCUUGGUCCCCACCCUUUGCAUCCGACCUGAGUUCAGGCAAGAUCACCCGCUGAACUUAA
Molecule: unclassified non-coding RNA, 361 nt
Filed under: uncultured fungus
Lineage: Eukaryota; Fungi
Description: partial contains 5.8S ribosomal RNA, internal transcribed spacer 2, and large subunit ribosomal RNA
Source: RNAcentral